RNAcentral lists this long non-coding RNA (1182 nucleotides) under Trifolium pratense (red clover). RNAcentral describes it as "long non-coding RNA (TPRA_LNC006601)". The record is from RNAcentral. Lineage: Eukaryota; Viridiplantae; Streptophyta; Magnoliopsida; Fabales; Fabaceae.
AUUACUUGUUAUAAUAGGUCUUAAUUUAGCCUUAUCACUGGUGUUUUGGAGGGUUUUAUGAGGUGGUUUUGAUUGAACUCAUUGUUUUCGUUGACCCUGAUAUCUGACAAAUCUUACUCUUCAUGCAGUUGGUGAUCAGGAACUCUUAUUUUUUUUUUCUUCGUCUGUUUUCUUGACCAACUUACGAGCAAAUGGAGGAUGGUUGUGGUAAUGAGAUUCCUCUUUAAUUUGAUCACACACUUCACCCAUUGUUUAAUUACAUAAUUGCUGAAAUAUUUUAUUUUUUGGUUACAAGUGCAAUCAAAGUAUUGGAUUUGCAUGUGUAUCACAUCAAUAUCAAUAAAAUUCUAUAACAUUUGCUGCUGAUUGGUUAAGGCUGACAUUAUAAAAAAUUAUGAUGUUCUUUACUUGGUAGUUCACUAACAUUUUGAUUCAUUUUUUAUUAUGUUUGGAAUCAUUGAAAUUGUAUUUGAUUUGAUUUAAAAUAUAUGAAUUUGAACAUAUGGGAUUAUUGUAAAAAGUUGAUUUUACUUGAUCUGUAAAUAAAUUUGUUUUCGCGCUUUGACCAUUAAAGAUUAAAUAAGCGUGUUAUCGUGGUAUUUCUUCGUUAUUGCCCUAUAUAAUAUUUUUCAAAAUGGCUGCUCUAGCAAGUAUGAUAUUGUCCAUGUAUAUAUAGAAAUUAUGAUUACACCUCAUUUUCACUCAAGUUCAAAUAUAUUAUAGUGAAUCUCUAAAUUUUCACAACUAAAGAAUAAGAAUAUUUUUUCGGCGAACAGGAAUAAGAAUCUUAUAUCAAUUAUUUAGAUUAUAUUUCCCAACUAAUGAUUUCAUUUAUAAAUCAAAUCAAUCCCCAAUUCCAAUCACACUUUGUAUCAUUCUGACAAAAAAGUUGUAUAUUAAACCAACAAUUCACUCUAACCAUACUAUGUUUCUUGUACUGUAUUAUUUAUUGUUGUUAAUUUGAGAUAUGCUUGUUUAUUUUUUCCGCGGAAGAACAAUGGGCACCUAAAAAAUCUACUGAAAAAGCUCCUGAAAAGAAGGGAAAGAAAGUAGAGCUAGAAAAGGAAGAACCACUGGAUUCUUUGGCGGAAAAACAUCUUCAACAAAGGUUUAUUGUUUGCAUCUGUUUUGUUUACUCUGAUUCCAAUGUUCCUUUUAGAAUAACAUGUUCUUAGUGCUGGU